Molecule: ribosomal RNA, 398 nt
Filed under: uncultured bacterium
Lineage: Bacteria
Description: partial 16S ribosomal RNA
Rfam family: Bacterial small subunit ribosomal RNA
Source: RNAcentral
CCUACGGGAGGCAGCAGUGAGGAAUAUUGGUCAAUGGGCGGGAGCCUGAACCAGCCAAGCCGCGUGAAGGAAGACUGCCCCAUGCGUCGUAAACUUCUUUUGUCGGGGAACAAAGGACGCCACGCGUGGCGUUGUGAGUGUACCCGAAGAAAAAGCAUCGGCUAACUCCGUGCCAGCAGCCGCGGUAAUACGGAGGAUGCGAGCGUUAUCCGGAUUUAUUGGGUUUAAAGGGUGCGUAGGCGGUAGGGAAAGUCAGCGGUAAAAGACCGGGGCUCAACCCCAGAGAGCAGUUGAAACUGUCGGUCUAGAGUGGGCGAGAGGUAGGCGGAAUGCGUGGUGUAGCGGUGAAAUGCAUAGAUAUCGCGCAGAACUCCGAUUGCGAAGGCAGCGUACCGGAG